AUUGAACGCUGGCGGCAUGCCUUACACAUGCAAGUCGAACGGCAGCGCGGACUUCGGUCUGGCGGCGAGUGGCGAACGGGUGAGUAAUACAUCGGAACGUACCCUGUUGUGGGGGAUAACUAGUCGAAAGAUUAGCUAAUACCGCAUACGACCUGAGGGUGAAAGUGGGGGACCGCAAGGCCUCACGCAGCAGGAGCGGCCGAUGUCUGAUUAGCUAGUU
This 220-nucleotide ribosomal RNA is filed under the name uncultured Cupriavidus sp. RNAcentral describes it as "partial 16S ribosomal RNA". It matches the Rfam family "Bacterial small subunit ribosomal RNA", at positions 30 to 250 of the family's 1533-position model. The record is from RNAcentral. Lineage: Bacteria; Pseudomonadati; Pseudomonadota; Betaproteobacteria; Burkholderiales; Burkholderiaceae.